UCUUCCGCAAUGGGCGAAAGCCUGACGGAGCAAUGCCGCGUGAGUGAAGAAGGCCUUCGGGUCGUAAAACUCUGUUAUAAGAGAAUAACAAAUUGUAGAGUAACUGCUACAGUCUUGACGGUAUCAUAUUAUAAAGCAACGGCUAACUACGUGCCAGACGCCGCGGUAAUACGUAGGUGGCAAGCGUUGUCCGGAUUUAUUGGGCGUAAAGGGAGCGCAGGUGGUUUCUUAAGUCUGAUGUGAAAGCCCACGGCUUAACCGUGGAGGGUCAUUGGAAACUGGGAAACUUGAGUACAGAAGAGGAAUGUGGAACUCCAUGUGUAGCGGUGGAAUGCGUAGAUAUAUGGAAGAACACCAGUGGCGAAGGCGACAUUCUGGUCUGUUACUGACACUGAGGCUCGAAAGCGUGGGGAGCAAACAGG
Molecule: ribosomal RNA, 422 nt
Filed under: uncultured bacterium
Lineage: Bacteria
Description: bacterial SSU rRNA
Rfam family: Bacterial small subunit ribosomal RNA
Source: RNAcentral